Molecule: ribosomal RNA, 389 nt
Filed under: Brechmorhoga mendax
Lineage: Eukaryota; Metazoa; Arthropoda; Insecta; Odonata; Libellulidae
Description: partial 12S ribosomal RNA
Source: RNAcentral
GUAAUUUAGCCAGGUAGAGAGUAUGUCCUGAACCAAAGAUUGGCCGUAUUUAUCUUUUAAAGACCUGUCCGUAUUGAAGUCCCGAUGNAAGUACUUAUUUUGUUUCCAUUUGGAAACCUCCGCAUCAGAGAUCUUUUUAGAGUUAAUAUUUUAUCAAUAAGUAUAUUAUGGCCAGGCAAGGGCCAUUAAUAAAUAAGUGGAAAUGGGUUACAAUAUUAUUAUGUACACGGAUUAUUAAUUUAUUAUUAGUAUGAAGGGGAUUUACCAGUAAAAUUAUUAUCCUUUUUAAUUUGAUCUUAGCUCUAUAAUAUGCACACAUCGCCCGUCGCUCUUAUUAUAAAAUAAGAUAAGUCGUAACAUAGUAGGUGUACCGGAAGGUGAUCCUAGUA